GAUGAACGCUAGCUACAGGCUUAACACAUGCAAGUCGAGGGGUAACGAGAGGAAAGCUUGCUUUCCUUGUCGACGACCGGCGCACGGGCGAGUAACGCGUAUCCAACCUGCCCCCAACUAGGGAAUAACCUUGCGAAAGUAAGACUAAUACCCUAUAAUUUCCUCAGAUGUCAUCUGACGAGGAAUAAAGAUUUAUCGGUUGUGGAUGGGGAUGCGUCUGAUUAGCUUGUUGGCGGGGUAACGGCCCACCAAGGCAAGGAUCAGUAGUGGUUCUGGAACGAAGGUCCCCCCCAUUGGAACUGCGACACGGUCCAAACGCCUACGGGAGGCAGCAUUGCGGAAUAUUGGUCAAUGGGCGGAAGCCUGAACCAGCCAAGUAGCGUGCAGGAUGACGGCCCUGUGGGUUGUAAACUGCUUUUAUACAGGAAUAAAGUUAGCCACGUGUGGUUAUUUGUAGGUACUGUAUGAAUAAGGACCGGCUAAUUCCGUGCCAGCCGCCGCCGUAA
RNAcentral lists this ribosomal RNA (506 nucleotides) under uncultured bacterium. RNAcentral's name for it is "partial 16S ribosomal RNA". It matches the Rfam family "Bacterial small subunit ribosomal RNA", at positions 28 to 523 of the family's 1533-position model. The record is from RNAcentral.